Antechinus flavipes (yellow-footed antechinus) is the source of this 1080-nucleotide long non-coding RNA. RefSeq lists it as uncharacterized. NCBI's taxonomy places the organism in Eukaryota, Metazoa, Chordata, Mammalia, Dasyuromorphia, Dasyuridae. The record is from RefSeq and is a predicted model, not a curated record. The transcript is spliced from 3 exons.
GGAAAACUUGGAGCGUGUCCAAAGAUAAUAACCAGGAUGAAAAAGCUGAAGUACAUGCUUAAUGAAGAUCAAUAAAAGAAACACAGAAAGCUGCUUAGGAAAAGGAAGAAGAGACUGCCUGGAAGUUAGAAAGUUCAAGUCCUUUCUCUGACAUAUACAAGCUGUAUGAUUCAGAGCAAGUCUCUCAAGACUCCCUACAAUUCUUUGAGAUUGGAAGCUGUGGAAAUGAUCAGCCUCCAUUAGCAGGAGUUUUCUCAUUUGGGUACUCCCAAUACCAAGAAAAGAUCCAUUCCCUAUCCCUGGAGGAGGAAGGAUCCAUUGGGAAAGCAGGCGGAGCACAUCUGCAGGAUUGUGGGUAUCUCUGGGGUCAAAAUUUACGAAGAACAUUGACAAGCUGGAGCAUGUCCAGGAUGGUGAGGGAAUUUAAAACAACCAUGGCCUAUGAAGAAAAAUGGAAUGAGAAUAUUUGACUUGGAAAAGAGCUUUCGGGGAAACACAAUUGCUGACUUCAAUUAUAUGAAAGUCUGUCAUGUGGAAGAGAUAUAUUAGUCUUGUUCUGUUUGAUUCCAAAGGGCAAAACUAGGAACACUCAGGAGGAGUGGGGUACAAUGUUAAAGAAACUAAUUUUCAUAUAAGGAAGAAUGUACUAACAAUAUAUUUCCUGGGGAAAGACUGCUUAUCUGACAGAAACUACCGAGAAAAGUAGAAAAUAGCUUGGCAAAAAUUAGGUUCAUGCAAACAUCUUAAACCAUAUAGAUUCCAAAAUGAUAGUCAACUGAAAUAUAAAGGGUUAAAUCAUAAAAAAAUCUAAGUGGAUUGAGGGCCUUUUUGCAACUUUGGCUAGGGAAAGAAUUUUAACCAAAGUCACAAGUUAAACUAUGUCUAUUUGAAUUUUUGAAAACUGUCACAUGAACAAAAUCAGCAUAGGUAGAAAAGGAAAGAUGAUGACUGACAAAAUGCUUUAUAUUAUUUAAUGUCUGAUAUACAAGUUAUAUAAGGAAUUAAUCCAAUGUAUAAAGACCAAGAGUUAUUCUCCAAUGCAUAAGUGGUCAAAAGAUAUUAAUAAAGUUUUUUUUUUAA